GUUGAUAUUGCUCAGUUGGUAGAGCUCACCCUAGGUAAUGGUGAGGUCACCAUUUCGACAAUGGGUAUCAGCACCA
This 76-nucleotide transfer RNA is filed under the name Salmonella enterica subsp. enterica serovar Enteritidis. RNAcentral describes it as "tRNA-Thr". Lineage: Bacteria; Pseudomonadati; Pseudomonadota; Gammaproteobacteria; Enterobacterales; Enterobacteriaceae. The record is from RNAcentral.